AUUGAACGCUGGCGGCAGGCCUAACACAUGCAAGUCGAACGAGUGGCGGACGGGUGAGUAAUGUCUGGGAAACUGCCUGCUGGAGGGGGAUAACUACUGGAAACGGUAGCUAAUACCGCAUACCAUCAGAUGUGCCCAGAUGGGAUUAGCUUGUUGGUGGGGUAACGGCUCACCAAGGCGACGAUCCCUCGCUGGUCUGAGAGGAUGAUCAUUCCAACUGAAACUUAGACACGGUCCAGACUCCUCUGGGAGGCAGCAGUGGGGAAUAUUGGACAAUUGGCGAAAUCCUGAUCCAUCCAUGCCGCGUGUGUGAAGAAGGUCUUCGGAUUGUAAAGCACUUUAAGUUGGGAGGCGUUACCAACAGAAUAAGCACCGGCUAACUUCGUGCCAGCAGCCGCGGUAAUAC
This 406-nucleotide ribosomal RNA is filed under the name uncultured bacterium. Its description in RNAcentral is "partial 16S ribosomal RNA". It matches the Rfam family "Bacterial small subunit ribosomal RNA", at positions 30 to 526 of the family's 1533-position model. The record is from RNAcentral.